GAUACGUAGGCUCGCACAACCCUCUCCUCGACUCCUCCUCUCCCCGACCUCUCUCCUCUCCUCCCAAUCUAGGCGGCUGCGCGUAUCCUUCCCAGCAGCGCCGCCGACCACAACUUCAACCUCGACCAGCAGCCCCCUCACUCAUUCUCGACCGCUAGCGGCAGCGCGCAUAAUGAAACGGCGGCGCCAUCUCCGCUGAUUUUCCUACCACGACGGUGUGCUUAGAGUCGUCCUUCAAGGUGGAACGCGACCACCCCUGCCAUCCAUCCCUCUAGGAAGAUCCUAUGCCACUGGCCUCGUGGCUCUGGAGCCCCUUGUAGGUGCACAACCAGGACAAACGUGUCAUAAGCAUCAAGGGAUUUGGGGCACUUAUCUGCAGGACAUGACACCUUCUCCUAUGGACGUUGAUGUCAAACCCUCCUCCCAAGGUCCAAACUUUGUGCUAUGAAGUAAAGGAAAUAUUUCUGGAGGAAACUAAUGUUCAUGUACGGUAUCUUUCCCACAAUUUUGCAAUGGCGCCAUUUUAUUAAUAUAGUUAAUUGGUUGUUACAAAAUAUAUGGAUGGUUUCCUCUGUUCAGUUUUAGUAACAUCAUGCCAUCAUCCUCAUAGUUUUGUUCUGCACUUGUAUUUAUUAAUGUUCUAUUCAGUUUUCUUGUGUGGAAGCGACCAGCUAGAAAAGGCAGGACGAGUUUCUUAAUAAUGAUCAUGUUUUGGUGCUACACACAAGAAGUUGCCUGCUCUGAGUUUUAUUUCACGAAGCAUACUUCAAUCUUUGAUACAAGUGGACAAUAGUGUUACUGUCGGCCUGUACUGGUUGCUGCUGCAGGAUCACAUGAAUCAUUUUUCUCCAGAAUUGUUGUGUCCAUCCGAGCAUUUUACUCUAUACAGACUCGGAAUCUAAGUUUUACCAUGUGAUGCCACGACAACUAUCUGGCAAACACGACUGAACCUUAUAAGCUAGCCUCAAGAACACAAAAGUCCAUUCCCUUUGGUUCUGCUGGUCCUCAUAAAUACUCAUGUUGCUUACUACAGUUCUGAGGUAUAUACAAGAAGAGAGGGUGCCAAUCAGGAUAUAGACUGUUAUGCUCAAACUUAUUCAACAUUAUUGCAGAAAGUUUGGUAGUUGCCAGAUGAAGUUGUUGAAGAGGAUUCAAGUUUCAUUUCAAUAAAAAGUAUUUGAUUGACUCUUUGCUGAAAUUAAUUUCAGUACACUAAUGCAUGGACGACACGGGUUGCAUGCUAGGUGUACUGACCUAUUACACAUCUUCACAUUUAUUCCAGUUCACUUUUGUUCUAAUACUCUUUGUUUUUCUCUUACCCAAGAGACCAGAUGUUACUUGCUAUAUCAGUUAUGUUGUCAUGCCACAGCCUGGUUGCUGGUCGACAUUUCAAUUUGGAUUAUAUUUAAUUCAUACAAGUCUAACGACACCCUUUUCCAUGCUGAUGUUUUGGUAAGGCUUUUCAUGUAUCGAAUGGAAUUAUUGGUCUGUCACUUUCUUACCGCCUGGCUGGUCUUUAAUAAAACAAGCAAACAAAACUGAAUUAUAUGAUUAGUACAUAUCCAUACUAUGUAGGAUAGUUUUAUUUGAUAAUUCUAACAAAUCAUAAUCCUUGUUAGCACUCUUAUCACAUGAAUGCGAUGAACUCCGUGAGAAAUGGCUAGGUGCAUCAGGCCCACCCAGUUCUUUGUUUCCGAACAUGGUGGCCCUUUAGGCUCUCACCUAAUUCUUUAUUUCUGAAUAUGGUGACCCUUUAGUAGAGGCUUGUGAAGAGUUUGAUAAUGCACCAUGUAUACAAUCUAUGGCUUAUUGCUUAUUUUGUCUUGAUAGUACUGAUUAGUUGUAUUUACUAUCUAAAUUGUUCUAUAUAUUUUAUACCCAGCCAAUUUGAAUA
Triticum aestivum (bread wheat) is the source of this 1894-nucleotide long non-coding RNA. RefSeq lists it as uncharacterized. The transcript has 3 exons. The record is from RefSeq and is a predicted model, not a curated record. Lineage: Eukaryota; Viridiplantae; Streptophyta; Magnoliopsida; Poales; Poaceae.